RNAcentral lists this ribosomal RNA (513 nucleotides) under uncultured bacterium. Its description in RNAcentral is "bacterial SSU rRNA". It matches the Rfam family "Bacterial small subunit ribosomal RNA", at positions 8 to 518 of the family's 1533-position model. The record is from RNAcentral.
AGAGUUGAUCCUGGCUCAGGAUGAGCGCUGGCGGCGUGCCUAACACAUGCAAGUCGAACGAAGCAUACGGGACGGAGAUUCGUCGAAAUCCGGUAUGACUUAGUGGCGGACGGGUGAGUAAUGUAUGAGCAACCUGCCUUUCAGAGGGGGACAACAGUUGGAAACGACUGCUAAUACCGCGUAAUGUAUAAGGAUGGCAUCGUCUUUAUACCAAAGGAGCAAUCCGCUGAAAGAUGGGCUCAUAUCUGAUUAGCUUGUUGGCGGGGUAACGGCCCACCAAGGCGACGAUCAGUAGCCGGACUGAGAGGUUGAACGGCCACAUUGGGACUGAGAUACGGCCCAGACUCCUACGGGAGGCAGCAGUGGGGAAUAUUGGGCAAUGGGCGAAAGCCUCGACCCAGCAACGCCGCGUGAAGGAAGAAGGUCUUCGGAUUGUAAACUUCUUUUAUGAGGGACGAAGGACGUGACGGUACCUCAUGAAUAAGCCACGGCUAACUACGUGCCAGCAGCCGC